Molecule: ribosomal RNA, 525 nt
Filed under: uncultured microorganism
Description: bacterial SSU rRNA
Rfam family: Bacterial small subunit ribosomal RNA
Source: RNAcentral
GAGUUUGAUCAUGGCUCAGGAUGAACGCUGGCGGCGUGCCUAAUACAUGCAAGUCGAGCGAACAGACGAGGAGCUUGCUCCUCUGACGUUAGCGGCGGACGGGUGAGUAACACGUGGAUAACCUACCUAUAAGACUGGGAUAACUUCGGGAAACCGGAGCUAAUACCGAAUAAUAUAUUGAACCGCAUGGUUCAAUAGUGAAAAACGGUUUUGCUGUCACUUAUAGAUGGAUCCGCGCCGCAUUAGCUAGUUGGUAGGGUAACGGCUUACCAAGGCGACGAUGCGUAGCCGACCUGAGAGGGUGAUCGGCCACACUGGAACUGAGACACGGUCCAGACUCCUACGGGAGGCAGCAGUAGGGAAUCUUCCGCAAUGGGCGAAAGCCUGACGGAGCAACGCCGCGUGAGUGAUGAAGGUCUUCGGAUCGUAAAACUCUGUUAUUAGGGAAGAACAAAUGUGUAGGUAACUAUGCACGUCUUGACGGUACCUAAUCAGAAAGCCACGGCUAACUACGUGCCAGCCCGG